UGUGGUAAUGAUGGCAAGAAGGACACACCUGUUCCCAUCUCGAACACAGAAGUUAAGCUUCUUUAUUCUUUUAGUUUCUUAAAGGCACUUGUAAUAGAGGGGGCUUUAU
This 109-nucleotide ribosomal RNA is filed under the name Carnobacterium sp. PL17RED31. Lineage: Bacteria; Bacillati; Bacillota; Bacilli; Lactobacillales; Carnobacteriaceae. The record is from RNAcentral.